Molecule: transfer RNA, 1151 nt
Filed under: Equus asinus (donkey)
Lineage: Eukaryota; Metazoa; Chordata; Mammalia; Perissodactyla; Equidae
Description: lncRNA (ENSEASG00005028982.1)
Rfam family: tRNA (bases 335-406)
Source: RNAcentral
CGUCGGGGGAGGGGAGAGAGAGGGCGAAGUCUCCGCCCCUAACCGGGCGGGUAAGAACGGAAAUCGCUUGCUGAAGAAGAGGAAGGACCGAUUUCCUUUGACGCUUGGGACCAGACCAAAAGGGAAAGCCCAUUUUCCCGCCUCCGCUGGUUCCAUCCCUACUUAGGUAGAAGGCUAAGUGUCAGGAAAAUAUGGGCGCUAACGGAAUCAGUCUCCAGCUCCAAACUGUACUGAGUGGAGGGGCAAGGAAAGAAUGCAAGAAAGGUCCGGAGAGCCCGGAAGAGCCGCCAUGUUACCGGAGUCCUAAGACUCGGCGGGAGCCAGAGCCCAGCAGGACCUCGUGGCGCAACGGUAGCGCGUCUGACUCCAGAUCAGAAGGCUGCGUGUUCGAAUCACGUCGGGGUCACGGCUUUUUAUUUCUGAAGUCGCUGGCUUGUGUAAACCUAGGUGUAUUCCCGCCAAUUUUUGAAAAAUAUCUUUCGUUUUAGGAUUCAAUGUUCAUUGAUCAAAUGUUAUCCUAGUAGUACUUUGUCUGCAAAAAGACAAGGCUAACUGAAUAUCGUAGAGCCUGAAAGCUUAUGUUUUUAUGUACCCUUAGGCCUUGUAAAGUGAGUUUUCUGUCGCUUAACGUUCGUAAUGUGUAGAAAUGAGGACUUUCUGUUGUGCAUUAGUGGGCAUACCUAUCCACUGUGGUCCUUCACAGGAAAUGUACAAUGCAGUGUCCAAGCUGUUUUUCCAAAACCGGUUUCAGACCCGUUCGCCUUUUGAAAGCAAGUACGAGACAGCACAAUUUCUAACUCUGAAUGUUGUGAUAGUUUACGUGUUUUAACCCCGUGAGCCAGGCACCGUAAACAACCCCAAAACGUAAUUAAAUGUCACUUUUACAGGUGAAACUGUGGCACACAGAGGAAUAGUGACCUGCCAAGGGUCGCCCAGGAUUCCAACCCAGAUUAGCCCUGAGCUAACAUCUGCUGCCAAUCCUCCUAUUUUUGCUGAGGAAGACUGGCCCUGAGCUAACAUCCGUGCCCAUCUUCCUCUACUUUAUAUGUGGGACGCCUACCACAGCAUGGCUUGCCAAGCAGUGCCAUGUCCACACCCGGGAUCUGAACUGGUGAACCCUGGGCCACCAAAGCACAACGUGUGAACUUAAC